AUACGUAGGGGGCGAGCGUUGUCCGGAAUGCUUGGGCGUAAAGGGCGCGUAGGAGGUCCGGUAAGUCUGGAGUGAAAGUCCUGUUUUUAAGCUGGGAAUUGCUUUGGAUACUGUCGGGGUUGAGUGCAGGAGAGGUAAGUGGAAUUCACAGUGUAGCGGGGAAAUGCGUAGAGAUUGGGAGGAACACCAGUGGCGAAGGCGACUUACUGGACUGUAACUGACGCUGAGGCGCGAAAGUGUGGGGAGCAAACAGGAUUAGAUACCCUGGUAGUCCACACUGUAAACGAUGAAUGCUAGGUGUAGGGGGUAUCGACCCCUUCUGUGCCGCAGUCAACACAAUAAGCAUUCCGCCUGGGGAGUACGGCCGCAAGGUUGAAACUCAAAUGAAUUGACGGGG
This 397-nucleotide ribosomal RNA is filed under the name uncultured bacterium. Its description in RNAcentral is "partial 16S ribosomal RNA". It matches the Rfam family "Bacterial small subunit ribosomal RNA", at positions 523 to 918 of the family's 1533-position model. The record is from RNAcentral.